Molecule: transfer RNA, 66 nt
Filed under: Tenuibranchiurus glypticus
Lineage: Eukaryota; Metazoa; Arthropoda; Malacostraca; Decapoda; Parastacidae
Description: tRNA-Glu
Source: RNAcentral
UUUCUUAUAGUGUAAAUAACACGUUACAUUUUCAUUGUAAAACAGAAAAAUCUUUUUCUAAGAUAC